GGAUUGAUGGUUCAGUGCUAGAAUUCUCACCUUCCAUGUGGGAGACCUGUGUUCAACUCCCAGCCAAUGCA
This 71-nucleotide transfer RNA is filed under the name Loxodonta africana (African savanna elephant). It matches the Rfam family "tRNA". Rfam says of the family: Transfer RNA (tRNA) molecules are approximately 80 nucleotides in length. Their secondary structure includes four short double-helical elements and three loops (D, anti-codon, and T loops). Lineage: Eukaryota; Metazoa; Chordata; Mammalia; Proboscidea; Elephantidae. The record is from Rfam by way of RNAcentral.